UCCCUGGUGGCUCAGCAGGUUAAUGAUCCAGCAUUGUCACUGCUGUGGUGCAGGUUUGAUUCCUGGCCAGGGAA
Molecule: non-coding RNA, 74 nt
Organism: Sus scrofa (pig)
Lineage: Eukaryota; Metazoa; Chordata; Mammalia; Artiodactyla; Suidae
Source: Rfam